UGCCGCGUGUGUGAAGAAGGCCUUUUGGUUGUAAAGCACUUUAAGCGAGGAGGAGGCUACCGAGACUAAUACUCUUGGAUAGUGGACGUUACUCGCAGAAUAAGCACCGGCUAACUCUGUGCCAGCAGCCGCGGUAAUACAGAGGGUGCGAGCGUUAAUCGGAUUUACUGGGCGUAAAGCGUGCGUAGGCGGCUUUUUAAGUCGGAUGUGAAAUCCCUGAGCUUAACUUAGGAAUUGCAUUCGAUACUGGGAAGCUAGAGUAUGGGAGAGGAUGGUAGAAUUCCAGGUGUAGCGGUGAAAUGCGUAGAGAUCUGGAGGAAUACCGAUGGCGAAGGCAGCCAUCUGGCCUAAUACUGACGCUGAGGUACGAAAGCAUGGGGAGCAAACAGGAUUAGAUACCCUGGUAGUCCAUGCCGUAAACGAUGUCUACUAGCCGUUGGGGCCUUUGAGGCUUUAGUGGCGCAGCUAACGCGAUAAGUAGACCGCCUGGGGAGUACGGUCGCAAGACUAAAACUCAAAUGAAUUGACGGGGGCCCGCACAAGCGGUGGAGCAUGUGGUUUAAUUCGAUGCAACGCGAAGAACCUUACCUGGUCUUGACAUAGUAAGAACUUCCAGAGA
This 619-nucleotide ribosomal RNA is filed under the name Acinetobacter sp. RNAcentral's name for it is "bacterial SSU rRNA". It matches the Rfam family "Bacterial small subunit ribosomal RNA", at positions 395 to 1006 of the family's 1533-position model. Lineage: Bacteria; Pseudomonadati; Pseudomonadota; Gammaproteobacteria; Moraxellales; Moraxellaceae. The record is from RNAcentral.